AGCGAACGCUGGCGGCAGGCCUAACACAUGCAAGUCGAACGAACUCUUCGGAGUUAGUGGCGGACGGGUGAGUAACACGUGGGAACGUGCCUUUAGGUUCGGAAUAACUCAGGGAAACUUGUGCUAAUACCGAAUGUGCCCUUCGGGGGAAAGAUUUAUCGCCUUUAGAGCGGCCCGCGUCUGAUUAGCUAGUUGGUGAGGUAAAGGCUCACCAAGGCGACGAUCAGUGGCUGGUCUGAGAGGAUGAUCAGCCACAUUGGGACUGAGACACGGCCCAAACUCCUACGGGAGGCAGCAGUGGGGAAUCUUGCGCAAUGGGCGAAAGCCUGACGCAGCCAUGCCGCGUGAAUGAUGAAGGUCUUAGGAUUGUAAAAUUCUUUCACCGGGGACGAUAAUGACGGUACCCGGAGAAGAAGCCCCGGCUAACUUCGUG
Molecule: ribosomal RNA, 433 nt
Filed under: uncultured bacterium
Lineage: Bacteria
Description: partial 16S ribosomal RNA
Rfam family: Bacterial small subunit ribosomal RNA
Source: RNAcentral